RNAcentral lists this ribosomal RNA (441 nucleotides) under uncultured bacterium. Its description in RNAcentral is "partial 16S ribosomal RNA". It matches the Rfam family "Bacterial small subunit ribosomal RNA", at positions 338 to 795 of the family's 1533-position model. The record is from RNAcentral.
CCUACGGGAGGCAGCAGUGGGGGAUAUUGCACAAUGGGGGGAACCCUGAUGCAGCGACGCCGCGUGGGUGAAGGAGUGCUUCGGCAUGUAAAGCCCUAUCGGCAGGGAAGAAGCAAGACGGUACCUGACUAAGAAGCCCCGGCUAACUACGUGCCAGCAGCCGCGGUAAUACGUAGGGGGCAAGCGUUAUCCGGAUUUACUGGGUGUAAAGGGGGCGCAGACGGCGAUGCAAGCCAGGAGUGAAAGCCCGGGGCCCAACCCCGGGACUGCUCGUGGAACUGCGUGGCUGGAGUGCAGGAGGGGCAGGCGGAAUUCCUGGUGUAGCGGUGAAAUGCGUAGAUAUCAGGAGGAACACCGGUGGCGAAGGCGGCCUGCUGGACUGCAACUGACGUUGAGGCCCGAAAGCGUGGGGAGCGAACAGGAUUAGAUACCCCUGUAGUC